GGUAAGGACCGGGCGACUCUGGAUGGACUGCCGGCGGACAAGCCGGAGGAAGUGGGGAUGACGUCAAGUCAUCAUGGCCCUUAUGUCCAGGGCGACACACGUGCUACAAUGGCCGGCACAGCGGGAAGCGAGGGGGCGACCUUGAGCGGAUCCCUCAAAGCCGGUCUCAGUUCGGAUUGCAGUCUGCAACUCGACUGCAUGAAGUUGGAAUCGCUAGUAAUCGUGGAUCAGCCAAGCCGCGGUGAAUACGUUCCCGGGCCUU
This 262-nucleotide ribosomal RNA is filed under the name uncultured Thermovirga sp. RNAcentral's name for it is "partial 16S ribosomal RNA". It matches the Rfam family "Bacterial small subunit ribosomal RNA", at positions 1123 to 1382 of the family's 1533-position model. Lineage: Bacteria; Thermotogati; Synergistota; Synergistia; Synergistales; Thermovirgaceae. The record is from RNAcentral.